This 494-nucleotide ribosomal RNA is filed under the name uncultured bacterium. RNAcentral describes it as "partial 16S ribosomal RNA". It matches the Rfam family "Bacterial small subunit ribosomal RNA", at positions 28 to 507 of the family's 1533-position model. The record is from RNAcentral.
GACGAACGCUGGCGGCGUGCUUAACACAUGCAAGUCGAACGGACAGGCCUGCUUUCCCUUGUGGUUUGCGUGUACUCGGGUGGCUAACGGACGCGUAACACGUGUGUGUUCUGCCCCCAACUAGCUUCUAAGCCUGGGAAACUGUGUCUAAUUCUCGAUAGGACUGCAGGGUUGUGCCUGUGGUGGAAAACGUUUUUCUAGUGGUUGGGGAUGAGCUGGCGGAUUAUCAGCUUGUUGGGGGGGUGAUGUACUACCAAGGCGGCGACGGGUAGCCGGCCUGGGAGGGUGGACGGCCACAUUGGGACAGGGAUACGGCCCAGACGCCUACGGGAGGCAGCAAUGGGGAAUAAUGCACAGUGGGCGGAAGCCUGAUGCAGCGACGCCGCGUGGGAGAUGACGGCCUUCGGGUUGUCAACUCCUUGCGACCGCGAGGAAGCCACCUGGUUGGAAGGGUGGUGACGGUAGUGGUAGAAGAAGCACCGGCUAACUACGUG